This 2211-nucleotide long non-coding RNA is filed under the name Hordeum vulgare. RNAcentral's name for it is "long non-coding RNA (HVUL_LNC015148)". Lineage: Eukaryota; Viridiplantae; Streptophyta; Magnoliopsida; Poales; Poaceae. The record is from RNAcentral.
AUAUAAAGAUACUUGAUCGCUGAAUUGAAAGGUAAUGUUGGGACAAAAGAAACGUAAUGUUCUUCACUCUUAUUCUUGUCACACAAUAUGAUAUCUUUACUUCUUUUUCUUGUUCCUAGCUUAUACUACAUAUCACUUAUAGUGGCAUCUCUCCUCUUAUUCCGGUUGUUGACAUCUGAUAAGUGAUGAAGGAUACAAAAAAAUGGCAGAUUAAUAAUAAGUGGAAAAAAACUCAAAUUAUAGUGCGGACUAGGUGUAUUGUUUUACAAAUUUGAACAUUCUCAACAAGGCCGAUAUAAAAACAACUAAACAAUAUAGUUAUAACAUAAUAAGUAGUUACAAUAAAGGGCAUUAAUAAUGCUAGCGCAAAUUGAAUCACAGGUCAAAUAUAACUUUCAAGACCAACAUCUUGAAAGGAUUCUUCAUAUUAUCAACUUUUGAUCAUUCUGAAAGGUGCAUUGUGUGGCAACGCCUCAAAAUUGCAAAACAGAAGGAAAUGAUAGGAAAUGAAACAACAAGAUUGGCAAAGUAUGAGAUGUCGGGUCAAAAGUAGAUCCAGACGCAAGAGGAGAAAAGCUUUGUUGCCCCCCCCCCCCAACUGAGUAUCUAAGCAGAAGAACAUUGUCUCCAAACAUGUAAGGAGAUGAUAUAAAGAAUUUCUAAGGACAACUGUACGAGCAGAAAUCUGAGGCUCGGAGGAGGACCCUCGGUUUCUAGUGCACCAUGAGAUAUUUCCUAAAUGAACCACAGUAUAAAGAAUACAUCAGAUGCACUAAAACCAGUAGAAUUAAUGUAUAUAUUACCAUAAAGAACAGAAACAACUAUGCAGACACACAUACAUAAUAAAUGGGCAUUUUAAUUGUCACCGUUAAUUAUCUCUUUUAUAGCUCAUAUAUGAAGCAAAGGAACCUGAACCACAGCAACACAAGCAAGAUAAUUAAAUAAACAACUCACUACCACCUCCUGUACAUCCAGCCAUAGGUCAAUAAAGAAUACAUUCAUCUUUUCUAUACACAAAUAUCCAUCCAACACAACAUGACAACUGUUUAUGUCUGAAAUAUUUGGAUUGAUGUCACAUUUAUACAUUCAUGAUCGGAGCUUAUAUGCCAGUCUACAUAUACAUAGUGGAUGGAUGAAACACGGGAGCGUACCUCAACAUCAUAUAAAGUAUUUUAACAGAAAAUAGGCCCGUUAGAUUACCAUUCAUGUACGGUGGACAAAUGAAAUUUGUUAUUUAUUUUAAUAUGUCGAAUAAAGUUGUCAAUCUGGAAAUGCAAAAUAUCUGAAGUCACCAGGUUAUUUGUGGGCUAACAAACUGUCAUUCUUCUCACAUAGAUUAUUAUUUACUUGGUGUGAAUUCCAUUCAAAAAUAAAUAGAAGGGUUACAGAUGUUCGAUGUGCCCUGCUCAGUUUAUUUUGGAAGGGGUAAAAACAAUUGUGCUUGCAUGGUGAAUUACAUAAAUCAAAUAGAUAAUGUCAAUGUUGAAUCAUGGCAGGAAGGGCACUAACCAGUCCAGUAGCCAUGGAUGAACUUCGGGUAGGGACACCACAAUUGAAGUAAAUUGCUAUACAUGUAAAAUAUCUUCCCUCUCAAUAAAAAGGAUUGCAAGUGAACGAACAUUGAGAUCACAUCUCCAAAGGUAAUCAGACUUGUCAUCAGUCCAUCUCUGAUGUCCAAUGCAUCAUAUAUUCCUAAACUGAAUGAUCCAACUAUUAAGAAGUGAACAGUUAUGGCUUCACAUGAAGCUUCAUUACAACACUAUGGUAUUAAGAUUGAUGUCUUCUGCUAUAGCGAGUACAUGAUGUCCUCACACAUAGAAAAUAAAGACCAUGGAGUGCAUCAUUGUAAGUUCCAUCGCCAAGGAAAUCAAAGCCUGGAUAGUUUAAAAGAAACGAGUAAAGUGCAGAUUUUAACCAGGAAGAUUUUCCACCAGUGCCCUACUUGCCAUUGGGUGCCUGAAUAGUUUAAAGGAAACAAACAAAGUGUAGAUUUAACUAGGAAGACUUUCCACCAAUGCCCUACUUGCCAUUGGUAGCCUGAAUUGCUUAAAGGAAACAAACAAAGUGUAGACUUAACCAGGAAGAUUUUCCACCAAUGCCAUACUUGCCAUCGGGAAAUACCUUUUUGUCACUUGUCUUUGGUCGCUCGUCGGGCACAUGGAACACCAAUUAAAGAUUUCCAUGCAAAGAGUUAUGUGCCAAGCCUUGUUC